This 257-nucleotide ribosomal RNA is filed under the name Galapaganus conwayensis. Its description in RNAcentral is "partial 12S ribosomal RNA". The record is from RNAcentral. Lineage: Eukaryota; Metazoa; Arthropoda; Insecta; Coleoptera; Curculionidae.
AUUAUUUUGAAUUAAACUGAUAUUACCAGGUUAGUAGUAGUUAUGAGCUUGAAAAUUAAAGAAGAUGGCGGUAUUUUAGUCUAUUCAGAGGAACCUGUCCUGUAAUCGAUGAUCCACGAUUUAUUAUACUUAUUUUAUAAGUUUGCAUAUCGCCGUAGAUGGAAUGUCCUUUAAGGGUUUAUAAACAUUCAAGAGAUUUUUAUUUGUGAAAGUAAAUCAGGUCAAGAUGUAGCUAAUAAAUAAGAAGAGAUGGGUUA